RNAcentral lists this ribosomal RNA (250 nucleotides) under uncultured bacterium. RNAcentral's name for it is "partial 16S ribosomal RNA". It matches the Rfam family "Bacterial small subunit ribosomal RNA", at positions 524 to 773 of the family's 1533-position model. The record is from RNAcentral.
UACGAAGGGGGCUAGCGUUGCUCGGAAUUACUGGGCGUAAAGCGCACGUAGGCGGCUUUCUAAGUCGGGGGUGAAAUCCUGGAGCUCAACUCCAGAACUGCCUUCGAUACUGGAAAGCUCGAGUCCGGGAGAGGUGAGUGGAACUGCGAGUGUAGAGGUGAAAUUCGUAGAUAUUCGCAAGAACACCAGUGGCGAAGGCGGCUCACUGGCCCGGUACUGACGCUGAGGUGCGAAAGCGUGGGGAGCAAAC